RNAcentral lists this ribosomal RNA (2791 nucleotides) under Pseudomonas aeruginosa. Its description in RNAcentral is "bacterial LSU rRNA". It matches the Rfam family "Bacterial large subunit ribosomal RNA". Lineage: Bacteria; Pseudomonadati; Pseudomonadota; Gammaproteobacteria; Pseudomonadales; Pseudomonadaceae. The record is from RNAcentral.
GUUAUAUGGUCAAGUGAAGAAGCGCAUACGGUGGAUGCCUUGGCAGUCAGAGGCGAUGAAAGACGUGGUAGCCUGCGAAAAGCUUCGGGGAGUCGGCAAACAGACUUUGAUCCGGAGAUCUCUGAAUGGGGGAACCCACCUAGGAUAACCUAGGUAUCUUGUACUGAAUCCAUAGGUGCAAGAGGCGAACCAGGGGAACUGAAACAUCUAAGUACCCUGAGGAAAAGAAAUCAACCGAGAUUCCCUUAGUAGUGGCGAGCGAACGGGGAUUAGCCCUUAAGCUUCAUUGAUUUUAGCGGAACGCUCUGGAAAGUGCGGCCAUAGUGGGUGAUAGCCCCGUACGCGAAAGGAUCUUUGAAGUGAAAUCGAGUAGGACGGAGCACGAGAAACUUUGUCUGAACAUGGGGGGACCAUCCUCCAAGGCUAAAUACUACUGACUGACCGAUAGUGAACCAGUACCGUGAGGGAAAGGCGAAAAGAACCCCGGAGAGGGGAGUGAAAUAGAACCUGAAACCGUAUGCGUACAAGCAGUGGGAGCCUACUUGUUAGGUGACUGCGUACCUUUUGUAUAAUGGGUCAGCGACUUAUAUUCAGUGGCAAGCUUAACCGUAUAGGGUAGGCGUAGCGAAAGCGAGUCUUAAUAGGGCGUUUAGUCGCUGGGUAUAGACCCGAAACCGGGCGAUCUAUCCAUGAGCAGGUUGAAGGUUAGGUAACACUGACUGGAGGACCGAACCCACUCCCGUUGAAAAGGUAGGGGAUGACUUGUGGAUCGGAGUGAAAGGCUAAUCAAGCUCGGAGAUAGCUGGUUCUCCUCGAAAGCUAUUUAGGUAGCGCCUCAUGUAUCACUCUGGGGGGUAGAGCACUGUUUCGGCUAGGGGGUCAUCCCGACUUACCAAACCGAUGCAAACUCCGAAUACCCAGAAGUGCCGAGCAUGGGAGACACACGGCGGGUGCUAACGUCCGUCGUGAAAAGGGAAACAACCCAGACCGCCAGCUAAGGUCCCAAAGUUGUGGUUAAGUGGUAAACGAUGUGGGAAGGCUUAGACAGCUAGGAGGUUGGCUUAGAAGCAGCCACCCUUUAAAGAAAGCGUAAUAGCUCACUAGUCGAGUCGGCCUGCGCGGAAGAUGUAACGGGGCUCAAACCACACACCGAAGCUGCGGGUGUCACGUAAGUGACGCGGUAGAGGAGCGUUCUGUAAGCCUGUGAAGGUGAGUUGAGAAGCUUGCUGGAGGUAUCAGAAGUGCGAAUGCUGACAUGAGUAACGACAAUGGGUGUGAAAAACACCCACGCCGAAAGACCAAGGGUUCCUGCGCAACGUUAAUCGACGCAGGGUUAGUCGGUUCCUAAGGCGAGGCUGAAAAGCGUAGUCGAUGGGAAACAGGUUAAUAUUCCUGUACUUCUGGUUACUGCGAUGGAGGGACGGAGAAGGCUAGGCCAGCUUGGCGUUGGUUGUCCAAGUUUAAGGUGGUAGGCUGAAAUCUUAGGUAAAUCCGGGGUUUCAAGGCCGAGAGCUGAUGACGAGUCGUCUUUUAGAUGACGAAGUGGUUGAUGCCAUGCUUCCAAGAAAAGCUUCUAAGCUUCAGGUAACCAGGAACCGUACCCCAAACCGACACAGGUGGUCGGGUAGAGAAUACCAAGGCGCUUGAGAGAACUCGGGUGAAGGAACUAGGCAAAAUGGCACCGUAACUUCGGGAGAAGGUGCGCCGGCUAGGGUGAAGGAUUUACUCCAUAAGCUCUGGCUGGUCGAAGAUACCAGGCCGCUGCGACUGUUUAUUAAAAACACAGCACUCUGCAAACACGAAAGUGGACGUAUAGGGUGUGACGCCUGCCCGGUGCCGGAAGGUUAAUUGAUGGGGUUAGCGCAAGCGAAGCUCUUGAUCGAAGCCCCGGUAAACGGCGGCCGUAACUAUAACGGUCCUAAGGUAGCGAAAUUCCUUGUCGGGUAAGUUCCGACCUGCACGAAUGGCGUAACGAUGGCGGCGCUGUCUCCACCCGAGACUCAGUGAAAUUGAAAUCGCUGUGAAGAUGCAGUGUAUCCGCGGCUAGACGGAAAGACCCCGUGAACCUUUACUGUAGCUUUGCACUGGACUUUGAGCCUGCUUGUGUAGGAUAGGUGGGAGGCUUUGAAGCGUGGACGCCAGUUCGCGUGGAGCCAUCCUUGAAAUACCACCCUGGCAUGCUUGAGGUUCUAACUCUGGUCCGUAAUCCGGAUCGAGGACAGUGUAUGGUGGGCAGUUUGACUGGGGCGGUCUCCUCCUAAAGAGUAACGGAGGAGUACGAAGGUGCGCUCAGACCGGUCGGAAAUCGGUCGCAGAGUAUAAAGGCAAAAGCGCGCUUGACUGCGAGACAGACACGUCGAGCAGGUACGAAAGUAGGUCUUAGUGAUCCGGUGGUUCUGUAUGGAAGGGCCAUCGCUCAACGGAUAAAAGGUACUCCGGGGAUAACAGGCUGAUACCGCCCAAGAGUUCAUAUCGACGGCGGUGUUUGGCACCUCGAUGUCGGCUCAUCACAUCCUGGGGCUGAAGCCGGUCCCAAGGGUAUGGCUGUUCGCCAUUUAAAGUGGUACGCGAGCUGGGUUUAGAACGUCGUGAGACAGUUCGGUCCCUAUCUGCCGUGGACGUUUGAGAUUUGAGAGGGGCUGCUCCUAGUACGAGAGGACCGGAGUGGACGAACCUCUGGUGUUCCGGUUGUCACGCCAGUGGCAUUGCCGGGUAGCUAUGUUCGGAAAAGAUAACCGCUGAAAGCAUCUAAGCGGGAAACUUGCCUCAAGAUGAGAUCUCACUGGGAACU